Molecule: long non-coding RNA, 2481 nt
Organism: Brassica napus (rape)
Lineage: Eukaryota; Viridiplantae; Streptophyta; Magnoliopsida; Brassicales; Brassicaceae
Exons: 2
Source: RefSeq, a predicted model, not a curated record
GUAGUGAAGGAAACUCUAAUGGAGUGGGUGUUUCGAAGAGAUCAAGGUCAUUGGAUCUUAAGAUGCUGUAUAAGUCUACCAUUCCCAAGGAUUCCGUUGAUAAGAGCUUUAAGAGAAAACACAGGUCUGGGAUUGAUGGUGGUAUGUUGAAAUAUGAUUAAAAAAUGCAAGAAAGUUGGUAACUGAAACAGUUCUUGACAAGGCAUGCAGUGACUGAUGGUAAUGGGCUUCAACAGGGGUCAGUUGGGUUGGCAGGUAGUACGAUUUAUGGUCCUACACGCAAGAAGGAUUUUGCUGGCAGGAAUAGGCAUGAGAAAUAGUGUGAAGUCAGAGAACUUCAAAUCUUUUACGUAUUUGUUUCUAUUGCUGCACUUUCUUAUAAUUCCCACUUUCUGAGGCAUUUGAAGGUGAAUGAAUAAGAAAUUCCUGCUACAGCAUCCUUAUCAUUUCCCUAACUAAGCAACAUAACAUAUUAAGAAAUAAGUCCAACACGUUUCAGGUUCGAUCCACCUGCUGCGCGAAACUAAGUCACAAUUAUCCUGGUCACCCAACACGGAUAUGGGCCUAUGCUUUAGGACCCAUUUGAAUACCCGGAGAGAGGGUCUAUCUGUGGGCUGCACCUCCCCUUGGGGAUUAGUCCGGGCCUCUCCAUGGACCUGGGAUACCCCCAGGUUAACAAAAAAAAAAAAAAAAAAAAAUAUGGUUUCAUGACAUUUGCAUAUUAACAACAAUUAACAUGAUACUUAGAAAUUAAACUUAACGAGAAUUAAAUAAACAUAACAUCAUGCAUGCACAACUUAAUUACUUCAUAGCAAGAAGAGAAAAGUGUUUACACGCUCAAUCGGUGAAGUUUAAGUUUCUUUUUCGUUUCAGUUCUUAAAAAUUCGACGACCAACUUACUCGCUCUUGCUUUGCGUAAUCUUCAUCUCCAUUUCUUUAUUUCAUAUCACUUAUAUAUCUUUACUUUGUAUUUUUUUUUUGUCAAUUUUCACUUUGUAUAUGCUCAGUAUCUCAUAUAUACUCCAUAUUCUUAUCUAUAUAUAAUAGCAAACUCAAUUUUGUUGCCUGAUGACGUCAUCAUUUUUUUAUAGGAAAAUAAAAUCUAAAUCCAACGGUUGAGUUUAUCAGUACUUUGUAAUCUAACGGAUAAAAUUUUCUUUCCCUUAUAAAAUCCAACGUCAGCAAUCUCUUUCAGCAAAAGACGUGUUCUUUUGACCUAAAUCAACGUUUCUCUAAACGACACACUCCUUCAUAUACGUCCCGUUGUAAAAGGUAUCUCAUUUGUUUUCUUUUGGAUCAACGCGUCUUAUCAAUUACACCCUUUUGGAGUCGCCUCUUUUUUCAAUCUAUAUAUAUGGUAGUUUCAAAUUAAUUUUCCCUUUUACAUUCACUCAUCGUCUAAGUUUUAAAACAUAUUUAUUUUUCUCUCAUACAGUCUAUGUAGCACGGGGACGUCUAUUUAGGUGCCGUACCGGUACCGGAAACGUUUCGGGGACGGGUACUUCACGGGGACAGCACUGGUACGGCUUGGGGACGGUUAGAGAACAUAGCUAUGAGGGCAUCUAUCUCUUUUAAAGUGUUUCCGAUUGCAUAGGAGGAGAUGGAGUGAAUCAUGUCUUCUUUUUGGCCAACUAAGAUUACUUACCGAUUUCGAAUUUAUUUUGUCUCUGACAUUGGUACUUUCCAAGUUUUUUACUGCAGUUAAUUAUAAUGUUUUCUACUCAAUUUUCAUUUCACUUUUUUGUAUUUUUGUUAAUUGGUAUUUGAUGCUUUGCCAGAAGAACUGAUCUGAAAGUUGCUUUUUCUAUUUUCUAAUUUUAUUGAUGUCCCUUUUCAUACGUGUAUUGUUCAAACAACACCCAAUUAUAAUUGAAUAAGGAACAAUUCUCUUUAAGGCACUGAACCAUGUGGGAGACAAACGUUUGAAAAACAGAGAAGGUGAAAAUUGGUUGACUGAAGAAUUUGAUUAUGUUUUCCCAGAAACUAAUUGGUUUACGAACCUGCCAAUAUACUAACUGCUUUUAUUUUGAUUGUACCAUGUUCGUUUGAUGCUUUAACUAGACACAGAAGACACAGUUAUCAUAUACUUAAACUCUACCAUACAUAGAAAAGGAGUUAGUGAAGAAUUUGAUGGUUUGAAGUUAAGUGAUACUAUGUAAAAGUCAUUUAUGAAUCUUUUUUUUUUGGGUUUCAAAAAAGUUGAUCCAGAUUAUUGGGAAUUUGUAAUUAAAAUAUUUUUAAGAGGGCAAAAGCAGUCGUUGAAGUGGGGAAGUUUGGACUUGGAGAAGAAGUGGAGAGACUCAUACGGUAAGUUCCUAUGAGCAUUUUUGAUCUUUAUGCAGGAUGUUACAAAUCACUGAAUUACAAAUACAAACAUUGGUUCCGAUCAGUGACAUGUAGUAUUAAUACUGAAUUACAGUAUGAUUUGUAAUUCGAUAUAACUUGAAGUAAAAAUUAAUCAUAGGUUCAGUUCAAAAAAAA